Molecule: transfer RNA, 74 nt
Filed under: Sphaerodactylus townsendi
Lineage: Eukaryota; Metazoa; Chordata; Lepidosauria; Squamata; Sphaerodactylidae
Description: tRNA-Gly
Source: RNAcentral
GAGCCGCGUGGCGUAGUGGUUAAGUGCUUUCACUGCCACUCACACGGUCAGGAGUUCGAGCCCCCUGUGGGUCA